This is a non-coding RNA of Oryza sativa Japonica Group (Japanese rice), 75 nucleotides long. The record is from Rfam. Lineage: Eukaryota; Viridiplantae; Streptophyta; Magnoliopsida; Poales; Poaceae.
UUGAGCCGGAUGAUGAAAAAUUCUCAUGUCCGGUUCCUUUGGGGGCUGGAUCUUAAAGAAUUCACCUAUCCCAAU